RNAcentral lists this transfer RNA (73 nucleotides) under Ophiophagus hannah (king cobra). It matches the Rfam family "tRNA". Rfam says of the family: Transfer RNA (tRNA) molecules are approximately 80 nucleotides in length. The record is from Rfam by way of RNAcentral. Lineage: Eukaryota; Metazoa; Chordata; Lepidosauria; Squamata; Elapidae.
GCUAGUUUGGCCUAGUGGUUAAGGCACCAGAGUAGAAAGCAGGAGACCAUGAGUUCAAGUCCUGUUUUUAGCC